Molecule: ribosomal RNA, 1016 nt
Filed under: Chaenea vorax
Lineage: Eukaryota; Ciliophora; Litostomatea; Haptorida; Trachelophyllidae
Description: SSU rRNA
Rfam family: Eukaryotic small subunit ribosomal RNA
Source: RNAcentral
GCGCGUAAAUUACCCAAUCCUGAAUUAGGGAGGUAGUGACAAGAUAUAUCAACGCUUUUUUAUAAGCGAUUGAAGUGAAAGUUUUCUAAACCGAUCUCAGAGUACUAUUGGAGGGCAAGUCUGGUGCCAGCAGCCGCGGUAAUUCCAGCUCCAAUAGCAUAUAUUAAAGUUGUUGCAGUUAAAAAGCUCGUAGUUGGAUUAAUGGUAGUUACGGCAAAUUUUGUCGUGCUGCCACCAGUCACUGACUGUUACUGUGAGAAAAUUAGAGUGUUUCAAGCAGGCUCAUGCAGGAAUACAUUAGCAUGGAAUAACGAAUAAGUCUAGAUUCUUGGUUAAAUCUGGAACUUGAUUAAUAGGGACAGUUGGGGGCAUUAGUAUUUGACAGCUAGAGGUGAAAUUCUUUGAUUUGUCAAAGACUAACUUAUGCGAAAGCAUUUGUCAAGGAUGUUUUCAUUAAUCAGCGGGCUAAAGAUAGGGGAUCAAAGACGAUCAGAUACCGUCGUAGUCCUAUCCAUAACUAUACCGACUCGGGAUUGGCACUCACUCGCGGAGUGUCAGUACCGUAUGAGAAAUCAUUAAGUCUUUGGGUUCUGGGGGGAGUAUGGUCGCAAGUCUGAAACUUAAAGAAAUUGACGGAAGGGCACCACCAGGAGUGGAGCCUGCGGCUUAAUUUGACUCAACACGGGGAAACUUACCAGGUUAAGACGUGAGAAGGAUUGACAGAUUGAUAGCUCUUUCUUGAUUUCAUGGGUGGUGGUGCAUGGCUGUUCUUAGUUGGUGGAGUGAUUUGUCUGGUUAAUUCCGAUAACGAACGAGACCUUAAUCUGCUAACUAGUCAGGCGCAUUUUAUGCGUCUUGACUUCUUAGAGAGACUAUAUGCGCAAUCAUAUGGAAGUUUGAGGCAAUAACAAGUCUGUGAUGCCCUUAUAUAUCCUGGGCUGCACGCGUGCUACACUGAUGCAUACAACAAGCUCCGAGCCCGAAAGGGCGAGGUAAUCUCUAAUAUGCAUCGUGAU